Molecule: ribosomal RNA, 380 nt
Filed under: uncultured archaeon
Lineage: Archaea
Description: bacterial SSU rRNA
Rfam family: Archaeal small subunit ribosomal RNA
Source: RNAcentral
UAAAACCAGCUCUUCAAGUGGUCGGGAUAAUUAUUGGGCUUAAAGUGUCCGUAGCCGGUUUAGUAAGUUCCUGGUAAAAUCGGGUAGCUUAACUAUCUAUAUGCUAGGAAUACUACUAUACUAGAGGGCGGGAGAGGUCUGAGGUACUACAGGGGUAGGGGUGAAAUCUUAUAAUCCUUGUUGGACCACCAGUGGCGAAGGCGUCAGACUGGAACGCGCCUGACGGUGAGGGACGAAAGCCAGGGGAGCGAACCGGAUUAGAUACCCGGGUAGUCCUGGCCGUAAACGAUGCAUACUAGGUGAUGGCACGGCCAUGAGCCGUGUCAGUGCCGUAGGGAAACCGUUAAGUGUGCCGCCUGGGAAGUACGGUCGCAAGGCUA